UACGAAGGGGCUAGCGUUGUUCGGAUUACUGGCGUAAAGCGCACGUAGGCGGAUCGUUAAGUCGGGUGAAUCCUGGAGCUCAACUCCAGAACUGCCUUCGAUACUGGCGAUCUUGAGUCCGGAAGAGGUGAGUGAACUCCUAGUGUAGAGGUGGAAUUCGUAGAUAUUAGGAAGAACACCAGUGCGAAGGCGGCUCACUGGUCCGGUACUGACGCUGAGGUGCGAAGCGUGAGCAACAG
This 239-nucleotide ribosomal RNA is filed under the name uncultured bacterium. RNAcentral describes it as "partial 16S ribosomal RNA". It matches the Rfam family "Bacterial small subunit ribosomal RNA", at positions 524 to 771 of the family's 1533-position model. The record is from RNAcentral.